UACGUAGGGGGCAAGCGUUGUCCGGAAUCAUUGGGCGUAAAGCGCACGUAGGCGGCUUUGUAAGUUAGAGGUGAAAGCCCGGGGCUCAACUCCGGAAUUGCCUUUAAGACUGCAUCGCUAGAAUUGUGGAGAGGUAAGUGGAAUUCCGAGUGUAGAGGUGAAAUUCGUAGAUAUUCGGAAGAACACCAGUGGCGAAGGCGACUUACUGGACACAUAUUGACGCUGAGGUGCGAAAGCGUGGGGAGCAAACAGG
Molecule: ribosomal RNA, 253 nt
Filed under: uncultured bacterium
Lineage: Bacteria
Description: partial 16S ribosomal RNA
Rfam family: Bacterial small subunit ribosomal RNA
Source: RNAcentral